RNAcentral lists this ribosomal RNA (497 nucleotides) under uncultured bacterium. RNAcentral describes it as "partial 16S ribosomal RNA". It matches the Rfam family "Bacterial small subunit ribosomal RNA", at positions 38 to 507 of the family's 1533-position model. The record is from RNAcentral.
GGGGGGGGGGGGGGGGGGGGGGGGGGGGGGCGGGGCGGGCGGGCGGAGGGGGGGCUUGCUUCGGUGAUGUGAGGGGCGGACGGGGGAGGAACACGUGGGGAACCUGCCUAUAAGACUGGGAUACCUUCGGGAGACCGGAGCUAAUACCGGAUGAUAUUUUGAACCGCAUGGUUCAAACGUGAACGACGGUCUGCCUGUCACUUAUAAGUGGAUCCGCGCUGCAUUAGCUAGUUGGUAAGGUAACGGCUUACCAAGGCAAGGAUGCAUAGCCGACCUGAGAGGGUGAUCGGCCACACUGGAACUGAGACACGGUCCAGACUCCUACGGGAGGCAGCAGUAGGGAAUCUUCCGCAAUGGGCGAAAGCCUGACGGAGCAACGCCGCGUGAGUGAUGAAGGUCUUCGGAUCGUAAAACUCUGUUAUUAGGGAAGAACAUAUGUGUAAGUAACUGUGCACAUCUUGACGGUACCUAAUCAGAAAGCCACGGCUAACUACGUG